AGAAAAUUGGCUAACGUGAAGCUUCAGUUCAUCCAUCUCCAUCACUUUCUUCAACCUCAAAAUGUUAUAAACUCCUUUAUCAAUGGAACUUGAAUUAGCUUCAGUUUCAUCCAUCUCCAUCACUUUCUUCUACUAAGAGGUGGAGACAGUGGUCGGACGACAAGGUUGCAGCGGCGAGUGAGAUCCGAAACAUUAGUUCGGCUGGUGGCUGUUCGGGAGGUCAGAUCGAAAGGAACUUGGUAGCCGGUCGGUGUUGAGUGCAGAUCUGACUUUGCAUAGUAUGUGAAAGCAGGAAUUUGCAGAAUUGCACAGAAUACAAGAUUUAGUUAUGGUUGUCAUGUGUAUGCAUGUCAUGUAGUCUGCAUCAGUAGUGAGCAUGCAGAUUAUGGUGCUUGUAAGUUUGGAAACAUAGAUUUUUCACAAUGCUUAUGCUACUUUACAUGUUGAACAAUGAAAAAAUAGCUUUGCAAUAGCUUCAUGAACUGCUUCUACAAACUACUUAUUGGUUUAAGUUGUAUCAAUUUGAAUGUGUUAAGAAUAAUAUAAUUGAAAAUGGUUCUGGCUGCAAAGAAUGAAUGGUUAGAACUUAGAACUGAAACUUUACUCUUCAAGUCAUAAAUUUUCUGGAGCAACUAAUUUUUGAUCCGCUUCAUCGCUGACACGGAAGUCAGUCACUACUCGCUUAUCGUCACAAUCACCUCUAUGCAAUGAAGGUUCGUCGACUCCGGAAAAAAGCUGGAAGAGUUGAAGGAGAAAAGAAUAAUUACUUUUGCAGUUUAUUGUCUGUCGUGUCACGGCCAAGAAUUCUUCACAUUUUGAGAAGUAGAGAGAGCAUAACGUGUGAUGAACAAGAGAGAGACUGUUGCUGACUGCGUAGUUUAUCAUGGAAGGUGUUUUAAUUUUCAAAAUAUAAAGCACUAACAAUUUAUUACACAGUCAGCAUCUUUUUUAUUUCAAAUUUUCUUUUUUAUUUCAAAUGCUAAUGCCACAUAAGCCAAUUGGUCAAAAUCCAAUCAGCAUUUGAAGUAAAAGGGUGUGGUAAAACUUGCUUAUAACUUUUAUAAGGGGGCUUUCGUAAAAAAAAAACUUCAGGGGGCAAAACCGAAUCUCGCCCUAAUGGCAGGGGGUGAAUUGCAUUUAACCCUUCUUUAAAUUUGGGUUUGUAUCCAACCAAUUCUCUUUUUUUCAUCUUCUUUCAUUUUUCUCUUUUUUUUUUUCCACACAAUUCUUUUAUGAAUAUAUUAUUAGUAAACUUAAAAAUUUAUCAAGU
Long non-coding RNA from Vicia villosa (hairy vetch), 1270 nucleotides. RefSeq lists it as uncharacterized. NCBI's taxonomy places the organism in Eukaryota, Viridiplantae, Streptophyta, Magnoliopsida, Fabales, Fabaceae. The transcript is spliced from 3 exons. The record is from RefSeq and is a predicted model, not a curated record.